RNAcentral lists this ribosomal RNA (643 nucleotides) under uncultured Actinomycetes bacterium. Its description in RNAcentral is "bacterial SSU rRNA". It matches the Rfam family "Bacterial small subunit ribosomal RNA", at positions 232 to 885 of the family's 1533-position model. Lineage: Bacteria; Bacillati; Actinomycetota; Actinomycetes. The record is from RNAcentral.
CGCGGCCUAUCAGCUUGUUGGUGGGGUAAUGGCCUACCAAGGCGACGACGGGUAGCCGGCCUGAGAGGGCGACCGGCCACACUGGGACUGAGACACGGCCCAGACUCCUACGGGAGGCAGCAGUGGGGAAUAUUGCACAAUGGGCGAAAGCCUGAUGCAGCGACGCCGCGUGAGGGAUGACGGCCUUCGGGUUGUAAACCUCUUUCAGCAGGGAAGAAGCGAAAGUGACGGUACCUGCAGAAGAAGCGCCGGCUAACUACGUGCCAGCAGCCGCGGUAAUACGUAGGGCGCAAGCGUUGUCCGGAAUUAUUGGGCGUAAAGAGCUCGUAGGCGGCUUGUCGCGUCGGAUGUGAAAGCCCGGGGUUUAACCCCGGGUCUGCAUUCGAUACGGGCAGGCUAGAGUUCGGUAGGGGAGAUCGGAAUUCCUGGUGUAGCGGUGAAAUGCGCAGAUAUCAGGAGGAACACCGGUGGCGAAGGCGGAUCUCUGGGCCGAUACUGACGCUGAGGAGCGAAAGCGUGGGGAGCGAACAGGAUUAGAUACCCUGGUAGUCCACGCCGUAAACGGUGGGAACUAGGUGUUGGCGACAUUCCACGUCGUCGGUGCCGCAGCUAACGCAUUAAGUUCCCCGCCUGGGGAGUACGG